Non-coding RNA from Tachysurus fulvidraco (yellow catfish), 780 nucleotides. The record is from the annotation of a RefSeq genome assembly. NCBI's taxonomy places the organism in Eukaryota, Metazoa, Chordata, Actinopteri, Siluriformes, Bagridae.
ACAAAACCUCCCCAAGUGUUUUAUUCCUUACUUUCUGUCACUGAGCUUUACUCCUUCUCAAUACAGGAGCAGGAGAAAGCCGUCUGUGUGAAAUAAACCAUCACCACGUAUACAUUCCUACAUUUAGGUUUCCUAAUGUGUUCCUUAGAUGAGUGAGGUGUCUUCUAAAAAUGAUUCGAUUUGGUUCCCUUUCUGAUAGAGAAACAUUCUGUUGUAGAGAUUUACAUAGUACCUUAUCAUCCACUCAUCUAUCCAGUGAGCAGCGUGUGGUUGUGGGUUGAACACCUCCAUAGUGGUCAUGGACGCUCCCUAUUCAAAUAGAGUGGUUUAUAAACAGCAUGUUCUUGGCUGCUCUAGUUUCCAGUGAGCUCUGUGAGAGAUAACACUCCCAUACACUUUAAAUCUGACUGAAGCAGAACUCAGAGAAGGAUGAUUUUAGGACAGUGUAUUUUAUUGCUACUCAUUUCAUAUUCUUAUGGACAGUCCCUGACCUCCUCUGAUUCUGUGGUGAAGAGACCUGGACAGUCGGUCACUCUGUCCUGUACUGUCUCCGGAUUCUCAAUGGGCAGCUACUACAUGCACUGGAUCCGUCAGAAACCAGGACAAGGACUUGAGUGGAUCGGGCUCAUUGAUGGUGGCACUGGCACUGCAUUCGCUCAGUCUCUACAGGGCCAGUUCUCCAUCAAUAAAGACACCAAUAAAAACUUGCUGUACCUAGAAGUGAAGAGUCUGAAAGCUGAAGACACGGCAGUUUAUUACUGUGUACGAGAGUCACACUGA